CUUUAUAAAUUAAAGAACAACGAUAAUCUUGUUCUUGCUGCCUAACUAAAGGCAGCCGUCCGACCUGGGAGGACCGCGGCCCGGGAAGGGCGUCGUUUAGCGGUGAACGUGCGCGCGGAAAGAGUUGACCGCGCCAUGAAUAAUGACUCUUACCUGACCGGCAGGCGUGGCGGCUUGCCUGCCGGAAGGGGAACAGGGGGAUAACGCCCCCCGGGAAUAACCGCCUGCGCCCGGAGAAAAUCCCGUGAAAUCGUUUUCGGACAGGGGUUCGACUCCCCUCACCUCCACCA
Molecule: transfer-messenger RNA, 290 nt
Filed under: Oscillospiraceae bacterium
Lineage: Bacteria; Bacillati; Bacillota; Clostridia; Eubacteriales; Oscillospiraceae
Description: partial transfer-messenger RNA
Rfam family: transfer-messenger RNA
About the family: Bacterial tmRNA, also known as 10Sa RNA or SsrA, is named for its dual tRNA and mRNA-like properties. Its role is to liberate the mRNA from a stalled ribosome. To accomplish this part of the tmRNA is used as a reading frame that ends in a translation stop signal.
Source: RNAcentral